UACGAGGGGGGCAAAUGUUGUUCGGAAUCACUGGGCGUAAAGGGAGCGUAGGCGGGUUUUAAGUCAGGUGUUUAAUCCCGGGCCCAACCCCGGACAGGCACUUGAAACUGGGAAUCUUGAAUAGUGGAGAGGUCAGUGGAAUUGGGGGUGUAGCGGUGGAAUGCGUAGAGAUCCCCAAGAACACCCGUUGCGAAGGCGGCUGACUGGACACAUAUUGACGCUGAGGCUCGAAAGCAUGGGAGCAAACAGG
Molecule: ribosomal RNA, 250 nt
Filed under: uncultured bacterium
Lineage: Bacteria
Description: partial 16S ribosomal RNA
Rfam family: Bacterial small subunit ribosomal RNA
Source: RNAcentral